Molecule: non-coding RNA, 952 nt
Organism: Lepisosteus oculatus (spotted gar)
Lineage: Eukaryota; Metazoa; Chordata; Actinopteri; Semionotiformes; Lepisosteidae
Source: RefSeq, a predicted model, not a curated record
CCACAGAACUAGUGUCAAGGAUCUGGAGACCUGAUCCUCAGAGAUCCAUGCACCAGUUACAUACAUAUGUCUGUACACACACUGGAGUCCUGCACACACACACAGCAGUUACAUACAGAUGUCUGUACACACACUGGAGUCCUGCACACACACACAGCAGUUACAUACAGAUGUCUGUACACACACUGGAGUCCUGCACACACAGCAGCUACAUACAGAUGUCUGUAUACACACUGGAGUCCUGAACACACAGCAGCUACAUACAGAUGUCUGUAUACACACUGGAGUCCUGAACACACAGCAGCUACAUACAGGUGUCUGUACCCACACUGGAUUCCUGUACGCGCACCAGUUGCACAGAUGAGUUGAAAAUCCAGCACAUACUACUGGAAAUUUCCUUCCCCUUGCGUUUAAUUCUCGUUAUGGAUAUGAAUUUAACUUUCUGAUGCAAAACAUUUGGGGUGUGUCCCAAAUAUGACAACAUUGAUAUUUUUGAAGAUAACAUAUGAUGUAAUAAAAGCAUGUAAUAUGCAGCAGUUGCUAGGAGCUCCAGACCUGUAUGGUUGCGGGUUCAAAGCCCAGGUGAGGCACAGCUGGUGGAGCCUUGAGCAAGGUGCUUCCUCGAAAUUAAUGUAUUAUAAGCGUACACACACUGGAUUCCUGUACGCGCACCAGUUGCACAGUUGAGCUGAAAAUCCAGCACAUACUACUGGUAAUUUCCUUCCUCUUUCAAACAUAAGACAAUAUCCUCUUUCCCUUUUUUUGCCACAAGAGGGGGGGGUGGGCAGACGGAGUGGGAGGAGCAGUCCACGAAUAUUUCACACCACAGACAGAGUGAGCGGAGUCUGUUUCGGCUGCUGAAUUCAGACUGAGAGCACUCAGGACCACUCUACCGAGCAGGCGCACAGGACGGGAAAGGGAGUGGCAGGAGGGGCCUCCUUCCCCGCUGGAA